Non-coding RNA from Labrus bergylta (ballan wrasse), 739 nucleotides. Lineage: Eukaryota; Metazoa; Chordata; Actinopteri; Labriformes; Labridae. The record is from RefSeq and is a predicted model, not a curated record.
UAUCCUGAAACAAACAAACAAACAAACAAACAAACAAGAGUUAAACAUCAGCGGCUUCGUCCCCGUAAGCUGUUUGUUCUGACCACUGAAGCUAAUGAGGCAGAAGCCUUUAAUGGACUUGUUUGUCACAGGAGGCCUCAUCGCAGUUGAAACACUGUUUUCACUGCAGCAGGCUAAACAACACUUCCUUUGUGUGGCCGGCCAAACAGGACUAACUUCCCAGAUGCAGCUACUAGUUUGGAGUAUCUCAUGAGGACCCGGAGGAGGCCUUCCUGUCGGACAUGUUCCCACUAAACAGAGCAACAGGAUCUUCCUCAACAAUCAGACCAAACCUUGUAACAAAAACAUUCCAGGAAUUCCAGGUUUUUCACCAUCUGACAGCUGACAUUUCCUUUGCAUAUGUUUACCUCAAGCUUCUGUCCAAUGAAAAUCUGCUUCUUUGUGAAGAAUGAUUGUUACAUUUAUGUGUUUUUCUGAAGGGUACACGUGUUUUAUCUGGGAUUAACAGGUCCAAGCUUUGUGGAUGGAGGUUUCUACAACAGAUACAGACUCAUGUUUGAGUUCCUCAAGAUUAAGUUAUUCUAAAACAAACCCUUCAGUGGAGCCUGAAGUCAAACCAAUCGUCUGCACUCGGGCUGGAUAAUAUGCACGUCUCUGAGUUUGGGAUGAUGUUACAGCUUUCAAAACAUCCUGGAGAAGCACUUUUCCAAAUGUCAGGUUGGGUGGGCAUUCCUAUUUG